AUUCCAGCUCCAAUAGCGUAUAUUAAAGUUGUUGCAGUUAAAAAGCUCGUAGUUGGAUUUCUGGCGGGAGCGGCCUGUCCUGCCCUUUGCGGGGUUGAGCACAAGCGCUGCAUCCGGCCAUCCUUGUGGAGAGCGUUUCUGGCAUUCAGUCGUCGGACUCGGGAUCCGCAUCGUUUACUGUGAAAAAAUUAGAGUGUUUAAAGCAGGCAUUUGCUUGAAUACAUUAGCAUGGAAUAAUAAGAUAGGACUUAGUCGUUAUUUUGUUGGUCUUGCACGUCUAGGUAAUGAUUAAUAGGGAUAGUUGGGGGUAUUCAUAUUUAAUUGUCAGAGGUGAAAUUCUUGGAUUUAUGAAAGAUGAACUUAUGCGAAAGCAUUUACCAUGGAUGUUUUCAUUA
RNAcentral lists this ribosomal RNA (395 nucleotides) under Stramenopiles sp. MAST-6. RNAcentral describes it as "partial small subunit ribosomal RNA". It matches the Rfam family "Eukaryotic small subunit ribosomal RNA", at positions 582 to 975 of the family's 1831-position model. The record is from RNAcentral.